Long non-coding RNA from Ceratitis capitata (Mediterranean fruit fly), 365 nucleotides. RefSeq lists it as uncharacterized. The record is from RefSeq and is a predicted model, not a curated record. The transcript is spliced from 2 exons. Lineage: Eukaryota; Metazoa; Arthropoda; Insecta; Diptera; Tephritidae.
UUUCAAACUUAUAAACCAUGAAAUAGCUUAUUGAAAAUUAUAAAUAAUUUUGACCUCAACAAUCUGUAAAAUUAGAGACCUAUGUGGGAACAAUUAAAAACAGCAAAGGAAUGGUAAAUACACAAAACUAAUAGUUAGGGGUGGCAGAUUGUUAAAUCAAAUUAUAUGGCAACAACCUAAAGAAAUUUUGUCGGCACUUGGAAUUUAUGCACGCGUACUUCUGCCAUUCCCACAUUGUGAAAACUAUGACACUGAAUUUCAAAAUUAAACUUACCUCACAGAAGAAUUCAUUGCCGCGCAGCCCACAAAACCAUGUUACCCAGGAGACUUCUUCGGAACUGCUCAUUUUUCUGUAAAAAAAAAAA